AGGGUUUGAUUCUGGCUCAGGAUGAACGCUAGCGGCAGGCUUAAUACAUGCAAGUCGAGGGGUAACAGAAAGUGCUUGCUCUUUGCUGACGACCGGCGAACGGGUGCGUAACGCGUAUGCAACCUACCUUUCACUGGGGGAUAGCCCAGAGAAAUGUUGAAUAAUACCCCAUACCAUCUUUUAAUGGCAUUAUUUUUAGAAUAAAAUUCCGAUGGUGAAGGAUGGGCAUGCGUGCUAUUAGUUUGUUGGUGAGGUAACUGCUUACCAAGACUACGAUGGGUAGGGGCCCUGAGAGGAGGACCCCCCACACUGGUACUGAGACACGGACCAGACUCCUACGGGAGGCAGCAGUGAGGAAUAUUGGACAAUGGAGGAAACUCUGAUCCAGCCAUGCCGCGUGCAGGAAGACUGCCUUAUGGGUUGUAAACUGCUUUUAUACAGGAAGAAACCUUUGUACGUGUACCUGGUUGACGGUACUGUAAGAAUAAGGAUCGGCUAACUCCGUGCCAGCCGCCGCGGUAAUACA
Molecule: ribosomal RNA, 526 nt
Filed under: uncultured bacterium
Lineage: Bacteria
Description: bacterial SSU rRNA
Rfam family: Bacterial small subunit ribosomal RNA
Source: RNAcentral